AGAGAAAUAUGAUCAAGCUAACUCCUGGUUGUCUCUUACCAGUGUCACUGCCAAAUAUUGAAAAAAAAAUUAAUUGGCUUUUACAACCACUCUGUGGCAAUAAUAAUGUCCAAAGACCUGUUAAAAUUUUCUUUAAUGUAACAUAUUAUCAGCCAUAUGCUCCUGCCAUGUGGCAUAUGUAGGUGUGGGCCACCAAGGUACUGCAAGUGAGAGAAGUGGAGAUUACUCCUUAAAUGUGUGAAUUGUUUUUGUGCUCCUUAGUUUUCAAAAUGAUCCCUCUCGUUCCCAGUGAAACUCUGGAAGACACAAGAACUGUGUGCUCCUCACAUUCUGCACAGUGAGGGAACUUUCAAGGCAGACACCUCCCGUGUCAUCACCCAGCCAAGGAAGGACAAGUCAAGGUUUAUUUCAGGUGUCUUGAAAAAUACACAAAUUCUGAGACAAACAUUUGGAGGAUGGGACACAAAAAGUCGCAAGUCCAGACAAAAAGGUCUCAAGGUACUGGGACAAAUAAAUUUGUCUUUUUCACAGAAGAGGUGCAAAAACUCAGCAACAAUGAUUGCAACUUUUCUGGAUGACUGACAAUCUUUGUUUAAAAUUCUGAGAGAAAAGCAACAACCAGCCAGCUGUUUAUUGGGAGCUGUCCCUGCCCAUGGCAAUGAGGACAUGUUGAACAAACCUCAUAACACUCGUGAUGACUCCAUGAACACCCACAGGGUCCAUCCCACCCUGCCCUCGCUGCUUCCAGCUGGGAAAAUCAGGGCAGAAGGAGGCAAAAAAGGAGGUAAAAAAGGAGGCACUGCUGAAGCUGGCUGGGAUAAGAGCAGGUGACUGAAAUCUGCUGUAAGGAGUAAUUUAAUCAGCCCACAGCUGCAGAAAGUCUUUUGUAGAUGGGGAGAACAGACUUCUGGGGCCAAAUCAAGUAUGAGGUCAUACAGAAGCCUGUCUUGAGAAGAAGAGUGAAGUCCUGUGGAAGCUGGUGGUGCUGGUAAAGCUUCCCUCUGAGGCUGUUGCUGCAGCAGGAGAUGUGGAAGCAGGGAAUUCCUGGCCAGAAAACUGAAGUAGUUGUGGUGGCAGCUGCUGCUGAGGUGAAGUGUAGCAUCCUUAACCACCACAGUGUCUGGCAAAUGUGAGGACUUCUGGGCAAACAGAGGAGUCCUGACCACACACAGAGAUCUUACUGCUGACUUUAAAUGUCAAUAAGGAAACUACAUCUUGUAUGAAGUUCUCACAACAACUUGUACUAGUUUAUUGUUUUCAUAGGGAAGAUGGUAUCUAAUUCAUGUAAUGUCAGAAAGUCAACUCUGCUAGAACUAAGCAGAUGCAAGAUGGUUUGGGGUUGUAAAGGAUGAGACUCCAAAUCAUCUUUAACAUUAUUAAAAUGAUGGGGUGCUUUUAAGGAUGUGGCAGGAUAAACUUUAUAGGUAAAUGUUUAUGGGUCUGAAACACCUUAAAUUUGAAAACCACUUCUUUUGGAUACAGAAGUUUAUCUGAGGGUUACGACCUGUACUCACAAACCUUGGAUUGUGAUGAAAUAUAUGCAAAGCAAUGCAUUCAUUUGUUCUGUUUUGCUCCAAGAUUCUGCUUGCAGCUUGUGUGUUUGCACAUAAAUGCCUCUG
This is a long non-coding RNA of Passer domesticus (house sparrow), 1619 nucleotides long. RefSeq lists it as uncharacterized. NCBI's taxonomy places the organism in Eukaryota, Metazoa, Chordata, Aves, Passeriformes, Passeridae. The record is from RefSeq and is a predicted model, not a curated record. The transcript has 5 exons.